This 339-nucleotide long non-coding RNA is filed under the name Coffea arabica (coffee). RNAcentral's name for it is "long non-coding RNA (CARA_LNC008345)". Lineage: Eukaryota; Viridiplantae; Streptophyta; Magnoliopsida; Gentianales; Rubiaceae. The record is from RNAcentral.
UACAGAUAGAUGGCCGCUUGUGUUGUUAUUCGAGUUAAUGCAAGCGAAAGGUCGUUUGUUGUUAAUUCAAGGUUGGCGACAAAUGUGUUUGAGGAAAGAUUUGAAUCUUUUUCGCUGCUAUCAAUGUCUCCCCGGCGGACGAAGUUUUUGCUUUUUUUAAUUAGCUUGGUCGUCAGUCUGGUAUUGGUUCUUGAGGUGAUGGUGGAUCGUCUAAUAGACCCGCCCCUUUCUUUAGGUCGGAAUGCCUAUCAGUCUUGGUGGUCUAGUAGUAGUAUAGUCUGAUAAGCCUUCGCUGCUUUCGAUUCAUGCUACGUCUUCGUUCUUUCUUUCCUACCGUAC